GUGCUCUAGCGGGUGGGGUAGACCUGGGCUAGCAGGCCUCAGGGAGAACUCCAAUGGCGUCUGUGUCAGCACGCUCACACCAGGCCACAACAAUGGCCGCCGCCAAUGUCCCAGUCCCUGGAGAGGUCUCACCCCUCACCGAGAUGCACUCAGGGCCUAUUAGAUUGGCAAAGAUGAAAAGAAAUGAUAAAAUCAGCAGUGGUGAGAGUGAAGACAGAGGCAUGCUCCAAUGAAACGAGCAAGAUUCUAAAUCCCCCUGUAAUCAUUGGGAAGAAAAGCUGCCAUGUUGUGAGGACUUUCAAGCAGCCCCAUGGAGAGGUCCACAUGGUGAGAAACCAAGGUCUCCUGCCCACAGCCAUUUUAGAGAGUCACCUUUAAAAGCUACUCCCCUAGCCCCCCAGUCAGAACUUCAGAGGACUGCAGCCCUGGUCAGUAUCUUGACUGCAACCUCAUGAGAGACCCUAAGCCAGAACCACCCAGCUAAGUGGCUCCCAAGUUCCCAUCCCUCAGAAACUGCAGGAUAAUAAAUGUUGUUUUGAG
Molecule: long non-coding RNA, 540 nt
Organism: Diceros bicornis minor
Lineage: Eukaryota; Metazoa; Chordata; Mammalia; Perissodactyla; Rhinocerotidae
Exons: 3
Source: RefSeq, a predicted model, not a curated record